RNAcentral lists this ribosomal RNA (443 nucleotides) under uncultured bacterium. RNAcentral's name for it is "partial 16S ribosomal RNA". It matches the Rfam family "Bacterial small subunit ribosomal RNA", at positions 338 to 795 of the family's 1533-position model. The record is from RNAcentral.
CCUACGGGAGGCAGCAGUGGGGAAUAUUGGGCAAUGGGCGCAACCCUGAUCCAGCAACGCCGCGUGAAGGAAGAAGGCUUUCGGGUUGUAAACCUCUUUUAUCAGGGACGAAAAAAGUGACGGUACCUGACAAAUAAGACACAGCUAACUACGUGCCAGCAGCCGCGGUAAUACGUAGGUGGCAAGCGUUAUCCGGAUUUCAUGGGUGUAAAGGGCGUGUAGGUGGGAGCGCAAGUCAGAUGUGAAAGCUGAGGGCUCAACCCUCGGCCUGAAGUUGACACUGUGGUUCUGGAGUGCUGGAGAGGGAAUCGGAAUUCCGGGUGUAGCGGUGAAAUGCGUAGAUAUCAGGAGGAACACCAGUGGCGAAGGCGGAUUGCUGGACAGUAACUGACGCUGAGGCGCGAAAGCGUGGGGAGCGAACAGGAUUAGAUACCCCAGUAGUC